This 606-nucleotide long non-coding RNA is filed under the name Malus domestica (apple). RNAcentral describes it as "long non-coding RNA (MDOM_LNC013984)". The record is from RNAcentral. Lineage: Eukaryota; Viridiplantae; Streptophyta; Magnoliopsida; Rosales; Rosaceae.
CUUCGGUUGGAGCUUACCGAACCUAUGUUUAGGUCUGACUCUCUCACAAUCCAAUUUUGAGUUUGUUUUUACAAUGUAUGGUAGAAUCAAGGCUAACCAAGGGGUGGCAUCAUGCCCAAUGCGUGAUCCUUGGUACGUAAGACCUAAAACUUCAAGAAUAAAGGAUAAUAUUUCCGAACCUUAACCCUGCAGAAUCUACUUUUGUCUCGAUGAAAUAUAUUAUUGGUUAUGCACAUGUUUAUGCCUUUACCAAUGUUGUUGAGGAGUACCAUUCUCGUAGUCAAUAUGUGAGACUAAUUUUGCUCCACCAAAUAUCGUUGGAAGAGCAGAAUUUUGACAUGAGUGGCCUUAUUGGUUGAAUCCCUUUAGUAAACCAUUUACUUUGUGAACAUCUUUCUAUGUUCUUGGAUUCAUAUUUGGUGUUUGUUUUAGUUAUGGAUAAUCUUAUCAAUCUUGUCCUUGAAAAUGUGUUAAUUGAAUCAUGUUUCUUGUAUACAUGUGGCUGAAUUCAAUUAAACACGUGAUUAGUUACGAAUGUGUGAAAGUUAGUUGUCUGGAUGAAUGCGAUACUACGCACACUGUUGGAAAUGUGCCCUAAACCAAUCA